GUAGGUGGCAAGCGUUGUCCGGAAUUAUUGGGCGUAAAGCGCGCGCAGGUGGUUCUUUAUGUCUGAUGUGAAAGCCCCCGGCUCAACCGGGGAGGGUCAUUGGAAACUGGGGAACUUGAGUGCAGGAGAGGAAAGUGGAAUUCCACGUGUAGCGGUGAAAUGCGUAGAUAUGUGGAGGAACACCAGUGGCGAAGGCGACUUUCUGGCCUGUAACUGACACUGAGGCGCGAAAGCGUGGGGAGCAAACAGGGAUUAGAUACCCUGGUAGUCCACGCCGUAAACGAUGAGUGCUAAGUGUUGGGGGGGUUUCCCGCCCCUCAGUGCUGCAGCUAACGCAUUAAGCACUCCGCCUGGGGAGUACGGUCGCAAGACUG
Molecule: ribosomal RNA, 374 nt
Filed under: uncultured organism
Description: partial 16S ribosomal RNA
Rfam family: Bacterial small subunit ribosomal RNA
Source: RNAcentral